RNAcentral lists this ribosomal RNA (371 nucleotides) under Merguia rhizophorae (semi-terrestrial shrimp). RNAcentral describes it as "partial 12S ribosomal RNA". The record is from RNAcentral. Lineage: Eukaryota; Metazoa; Arthropoda; Malacostraca; Decapoda; Hippolytidae.
UAUUAUUGAUGUUCCUAAAAGUAGACUCUUAGGUAGUAAACAGAUAUAGGCUCGAAACUUAAAGGAUUUGGCGGUACCUUAGCCCAGUUAGAGGAACCUGCCCCAUAAUCGAUAAUCCCCGUAGUAUCUUACUUUACCUUGUUAAUUUCAGCUUGUAUACCGCCAUUUUGUUAGGUGAAUUUUAUAGAAAUAUGCCGAGAUAGGAAGUAUCCUAGUAAGUUAGGCCAUGGUGCAGCCUAUGGUAAAGGGCGAGGUGGGUUACAAUUACGUUAGCGUAAUACGGAUAAUUUGCUUGAAACAGAAAUUUGAAGGUGGAUUUAAAUGUAAGGCUAUUUUAGCAAGUUAGCUUGAUAAGUGCUCUUAGGUAUGCA